UAGGUUCCGGUUCACGCCAGCCAUAGGGGCAAGCGACCCGGGUCC
This is a regulatory RNA element of 45 nucleotides. It matches the Rfam family "L31-Actinobacteria ribosomal protein leader". The record is from Rfam.